This 500-nucleotide long non-coding RNA is filed under the name Lepidothrix coronata (blue-crowned manakin). RNAcentral describes it as "lncRNA (ENSLCOG00000003429.1)". The record is from RNAcentral. Lineage: Eukaryota; Metazoa; Chordata; Aves; Passeriformes; Pipridae.
CUUAUCUCUGCCCCCUCCUCUCUCCCAGCACCCAUCACAGCCUUCCCCUGAUCUGCCCCUUUAAGAAAAAUCAGCCCUCUCCGCUCCUCACCCUCCGCACACUGACCUUACACACUGGACAAUAUUUAAGGAUCAAGGUGCCAUCCUAUAAAGAGAAGAAAUCGCUGGCUCCUCUGGCCAUGAAAAAAACACCGUGUAAAUUGCCAUUUCAGAUUUUUCAAAAAACAUGUUCAGCUCUAAGAAUUCUUCCGAAUUCGUUACACUCCGCCGCGCGAGGCUGCGCCUUGAUGGCCCCGGCGAAGUGACUCAUGUUCCACUGGGUUUUAUUCCUGGGAAGACUUGUGCUGAACCAGAGGAAAGAGCAGAACCUUUGGGGAAGGAAUGGCACGGUUUGGAAAGCAUCAGACACACUCACUGCUCCCUGUCAGAAAAUGAAAGCUCUGGUUUACAUCUCAUGUGAGAAAAUGGCCUUAAAAAUAAAAUAUUGCUUUGAUAACUGG